This is a non-coding RNA of Pseudomonas syringae, 114 nucleotides long. Lineage: Bacteria; Pseudomonadati; Pseudomonadota; Gammaproteobacteria; Pseudomonadales; Pseudomonadaceae. The record is from Rfam.
AACAGCUGCUGCGCAGGACGCGCACAGGAUCAAGGAUGAUCGGCCAUGGCCCGGAGGGCUUACCGACAGGAUGUUGGAAUGGUUUUGAAGAAAACCCGCCUCGGCGGGUUUUUU